GAUGAAGAACGUAGUGAAAUGCGAUACGUAAUGUGAAUUGCAGAAUUCAGUGAAUCAUCGAAUCUUUGAACGCAUAUUGCGCUCUUUGGUAUUCCGAAGAGCAUGCUUGUUUGAGUAUCAGUAAACACCUCAAAGCUUUUGGAUUUUUUAAUCGAAAAGCUUUGGACUUGAGCAAUCCCAACACCAAUCUUUUUGAGAUCGGUUGCGGGUUGCUUGAAAUGCAGGUGCAGCUGGACAUUCUCCUGAGCUAAAAGCAUAUUCAUUUAGUCCCGUCAAACGGAUUAUUACUUUUGCUGCAGCUAACAUAAAGGGAGUUUGACCGUAUUGGCUGACUGAUGCAGGAUUUCACAAGGGUCGGCAACGAUUCUUGUUAAACUCGAUCUCAAAUCAAGUAAGACUACCCGCUGAACUUAAGCAUAUCAAUAAGCGGAGGA
Molecule: unclassified non-coding RNA, 434 nt
Filed under: soil metagenome
Description: partial contains 5.8S ribosomal RNA, internal transcribed spacer 2, and large subunit ribosomal RNA
Rfam family: 5.8S ribosomal RNA (bases 1-120)
Source: RNAcentral